UUUUUUUUUUGAGGUUCGAGGCUAUCAAGCCCAAAUGAAUACCUUUCAACUAGAAUCCAAAGUUGAGGUAAUCUUUGGUUUUGACAGACGAUUCGAGCUGAUCAUGACCUUCAAAAAGAG
This 120-nucleotide microRNA precursor is filed under the name Caenorhabditis briggsae. RNAcentral describes it as "miRNA-2224". The record is from RNAcentral. Lineage: Eukaryota; Metazoa; Nematoda; Chromadorea; Rhabditida; Rhabditidae.